This is an RNA transcript of Ceratitis capitata (Mediterranean fruit fly), 1496 nucleotides long. It is a transcript of the gene named very low-density lipoprotein receptor, with no coding region annotated. The record is from RefSeq and is a predicted model, not a curated record. The transcript is spliced from 5 exons. NCBI's taxonomy places the organism in Eukaryota, Metazoa, Arthropoda, Insecta, Diptera, Tephritidae.
UGUGUAUUACGGCCGCAAUGGUCGAGUGGUUGGCAUCGCCGAAAAUCGCUUCAGCGUUUGCAAAACGUCAUUUAUAUAUAUAUUGCAUGAUAUAUUUAUAAAGCAUUGCAUUUUGCAUUUGUAUAUAAAAUUUACAAAAAGUGAUAAUGUGAUUAGUAUAUUAUUGACGAGAGACACUACACAACAACAAGAAUGUUCAAAAUUCUAUUAGUGAUAUUCUUUAUCUCCGAGCUACACAGCUGUUCGAAAAAUGCAGUACUCGCUGCAAAGAAGCAAUCAAAUUGUGCCGCAGAGGAUGGCGAGUGGGCAUGCAAAAGUGGUGCCUGUAUCCAAAUUCAUAAUCUUUGUGAUGGUACCAAACACUGUCGAGAUGGUUCUGACGAGCGAAAAAAUAUUUGCAAAAAUAUGAAAUGUUCUACCUCAUCUUUUCGUUGUAAUUACGGUGCUUGCAUACCAGCCGAAAACAUGUGUGAUGGUGUUAUUGAUUGUGUAGAUUCAUCAGAUGAAGACAACGAUAUGUGUCGUAGCCAUCGGAACGAGCCAACAGAGGAGGAUAUUGAAGAGUCCGAGAAUCGGAAACAUUGCGCAAGCUGGGGCCAAAUGAAAUGCUGGUCAGGUCAAUGUGUAAAUUUGAGUGACAAAUGCAAUGGCAUUCAAGAUUGUGCCGAUGGCAGCGAUGAGUGGUCACAGCUAUGUGCAAAUAUACUGUGUGACAAAAACAAGCAAUUCAAAUGUAAUUAUGGUGCUUGCAUAGACAUACAUGGUGUGUGUAACGGUACAGAAGAGUGCGCAGAUAAGAGCGAUGAAGCAUCAGAGACUUGCGAAAUGAAAACUGUUUUGCCCACAAACUCGAGUCCUCCCGAAUUCACAACUAAAAUUUCAGUUGAUAGCAAAACUACAAUCAAAGCGAAGGAUAAUAGCAUUCCAAAUAUUAAUAAAUAUCCUAUUUCAAGAUAUAUGAAACGAUCGUACUGUACCAAUAAAUGGAUUAGCUCCACUGAUUGCUGCACUCUGAAUGGAGCUUCAUAUAUAUGCGAAAGAAUAGUGCCCAACACCAUUGUCCAUAAAGGAUGCAAUUUGAAGCAAUGCCAUCAUAUAUGCAAUAAUGCAAUGAACUGGGAACAGUUGGAUACCGGUUGCCCAAGAUUAUAAAUGAAAUUACGAUUUUUAAAUCCCAUGAGAGGCAAUGAACAUACUUUUAAUUGAGUGCUUUAAAUUUUACAGUGUCGUCGCACAUUUGGGCUGCAGUUGGAUGGGAUUGAGAUGCAUGUUUGGUCACCAUUGAUAUAUAGGAAUAUUAAUAUAAAUAUAGAUACAUACAUAUAGAAGUCAAAUGUCUAUCUAUAUAAUUGUUCACGGUUUGCAGCGUUUCGUAAAACAAUUUCCAAUCUAUUACGAGAUUGCUCUUGGGCUUAUUCUUUUUUCCCCACUUACUUUUGUUGGUAUGGCCAAUAAUUAAUUUUGAUAAAAGUACAUCGCAAAACUAGAAUGAUGCA